AAGAUCGAAAAAACGAAAAUCCUGUUCUUCGGAGCAGGUCGUCGGCUGGGCCCGUCUUUCGAGACGGUGCUGCCUUCGUACUUUUAAAAAAAAUCCUGUCUUUCGGGGCAGGUCGAAGGCUUGGCCCGUUAACGCGGUGCUGCCAUCGUACUUUUAAAAAUCCGGUCUCUUUGCGGAGAACGGUCGAAGGCUGGGCCCGCGAAAGCGGUGCUGCCACCGUACUUUUAAAAGAGGCGUGCGAGUUGCGCAUCUUUAUAAAAAAAAAAUUCAACCGAAA
RNAcentral lists this unclassified non-coding RNA (277 nucleotides) under soil metagenome. RNAcentral describes it as "partial internal transcribed spacer 1". The record is from RNAcentral.